AUGUGUUUCCUGCUGCAGCAAACUCCAGAUACUGUGAUAGAUCCAAGCUUUUCUAGGCUUGUGACUGAAUCUGACCAUAGGUGCAUCCUGCACAGGGAGAGGGCUGGCAAAUUUGUGGCAUUUGAAGGCACUAACACUGGCAGGAGAUUCAUAGGAUGUGCAACUGAGUUUCAGGAUGGUGUGAACUGUGGCGUUUUAGAGUGGGUAGAUGCCCCUUGGCCUGUAAUUUUGCAAAGGUGCUUAACCAAGCUCUGGGAUAUGUAUCAUGAGGAGAACCUUGGUAGAGUCCAAGACAAAGAGGCUCAUGAGAUAGAGGUUGAGAAACUGAAGAAGGAGCUGGAUUCUCUUGGCAAUCAGUACAGUCAGCUUGUGGAUGAUGUAUCCAAGCUGUUUGAUUACCAGGAUGGGUAG
Molecule: ribosomal RNA, 411 nt
Filed under: Triticum aestivum (bread wheat)
Lineage: Eukaryota; Viridiplantae; Streptophyta; Magnoliopsida; Poales; Poaceae
Description: partial small subunit ribosomal RNA
Source: RNAcentral